Molecule: transfer RNA, 80 nt
Filed under: Elusimicrobiota bacterium
Lineage: Bacteria; Pseudomonadati; Elusimicrobiota
Description: Elusimicrobia bacterium (hydrocarbon metagenome) tRNA-Met
Rfam family: tRNA
About the family: Transfer RNA (tRNA) molecules are approximately 80 nucleotides in length. Their secondary structure includes four short double-helical elements and three loops (D, anti-codon, and T loops).
Source: RNAcentral
CGCGGGGUAGAGCAGCCCGGUAGCUNNAGCUCGUCAGGCCCAUAACCUGGAGGUCGUAGGUUCAAAUCCUACCCCCGCAA